GACGAACGCUGGCGGCGUGCUUAACACAUGCAAGUCGAACGGAAAGGCCCUGCUUUUGUGGGGUGCUCGAGUGGCGAACGGGUGAGUAACACGUGAGUAACCUGCCCUUGACUUUGGGAUAACUUCAGGAAACUGGGGCUAAUCCCGGAUAGGAGCUCCUGCUGCAUGGUGGGGGUUGGAAAGUUUCGGCGGUUGGGGAUGGACUCGCGGCUUAUCAGCUUGUUGGUGGGGUAGUGGCUUACCAAGGCUUUGACGGGUAGCCGGCCUGAGAGGGUGGCCGGCCACAUUGGGACUGAGAGACGGCCCAGACGCCUACGGGAGGCAGCAGUGGGGAAUAUUGCACAAUGGGCGGAAGCCUGAGGAAGAGACGCCGCGUGCGGGAUGACGGCCUUCGGGUUGUAAACCGCUUUCGCCUGUGACGAAGCGUGAGUGACGGUAAUGGGUAAAGAAGCACCGGCUAACUACGUG
This 468-nucleotide ribosomal RNA is filed under the name uncultured bacterium. Its description in RNAcentral is "partial 16S ribosomal RNA". It matches the Rfam family "Bacterial small subunit ribosomal RNA", at positions 28 to 507 of the family's 1533-position model. The record is from RNAcentral.